UGACGAACAAAAGCUACCUUCUUGUCAAUACUGGUUUCGUCAUGUCUUGCCUUUUGGGGAGAUUUGCUUCUCACACAGUUUAUCUUUGUGGGUUGCUGCCAAACUUCAUAGACAUCUUUAUAUUCAUUCUCUUCUGGGCAUUGAUGAAAUUCCUGAUGCAUUUCUUCCAUCAAAGAUCCGUUUUCGUGCGGGCAAUAACUGAAAGAGGAAUCAGUAUGAGAUCGAGAAUGACCUCCAAAAUGACUUUGUGUGGCUGAAACAGACUUUCGAGUUGGAAAAGCAUCAAGGCCCAUCAACUUGGCAACAAGACUAGGUGGGUUCUGACUAGAAUCUAUUUCCUUG
This 342-nucleotide unclassified non-coding RNA is filed under the name Hevea brasiliensis (rubber tree). Lineage: Eukaryota; Viridiplantae; Streptophyta; Magnoliopsida; Malpighiales; Euphorbiaceae. The record is from RNAcentral.